GGGUCUAUGAUGACAAACCAAUGUCUCGAAGAGAGGUGAUGACAUAUAAAUCAUUCUUUGUAGGAUAGCGCUGAGGCCC
Molecule: small nucleolar RNA, 79 nt
Organism: Cricetulus griseus (Chinese hamster)
Lineage: Eukaryota; Metazoa; Chordata; Mammalia; Rodentia; Cricetidae
Gene: SNORD115
Rfam family: Small nucleolar RNA SNORD115
About the family: HBII-52 is a member of the C/D class of snoRNAs, which contain the C (UGAUGA) and D (CUGA) box motifs. HBII-52 is encoded in a tandemly repeated array with another C/D snoRNA, HBII-85, in the Prader-Willi syndrome (PWS) region of chromosome 15.
Source: Ensembl